GGAAACGUGGGUGAGUGGUCGAAACCAGCUCCCUGCUAAGGAGCCAGGCCCGCAAGGGUCUCGCGGGUUCGAAUCCCGCCGUUUCCGCCA
RNAcentral lists this transfer RNA (90 nucleotides) under Halovulum marinum. RNAcentral describes it as "Rhodobacteraceae bacterium 2CG4 tRNA-Ser". It matches the Rfam family "tRNA". Rfam says of the family: Transfer RNA (tRNA) molecules are approximately 80 nucleotides in length. Their secondary structure includes four short double-helical elements and three loops (D, anti-codon, and T loops). The record is from RNAcentral. Lineage: Bacteria; Pseudomonadati; Pseudomonadota; Alphaproteobacteria; Rhodobacterales; Paracoccaceae.